GACGAACGCUGGCGGCGUGCUUAACACAUGCAAGUCGAACGGAAAGGCCCUGCUUUUGUGGGGUGCUCGAGUGGCGAACGGGUGAGUAACACGUGAGUAACCUGCCCUUGACUUUGGGAUAACUUCAGGAAACUGGGGCUAAUACCGGAUAGGAGCUCCUGCUGCAUGGUGGGGGUUGGAAAGUUUCGGCGGUUGGGGAUGGACUCGCGGCUUAUCAGCUUGUUGGUGGGGUAGUGGCUUACCAAGGCUUUGACGGGUAGCCGGCCUGAGAGGGUGACCGGGGACAAUGGGACUGAGAUAGGGAGCAGACUGCAACGGGAGGCAGCAGUGGGGAAUAUUGCACAAUGGGCGGAAGCCUGAUGAAGAAACGCCGCGUGCGGGAUGACGGCCUUCGGGUUGUAAACCGCUUUAGCCUGUGACGAAGCGUGAGUGACGGUAAUGGGUAAAGAAGCACCGGCUAACUACGUG
This 468-nucleotide ribosomal RNA is filed under the name uncultured bacterium. RNAcentral's name for it is "partial 16S ribosomal RNA". It matches the Rfam family "Bacterial small subunit ribosomal RNA", at positions 28 to 507 of the family's 1533-position model. The record is from RNAcentral.